Molecule: ribosomal RNA, 1306 nt
Filed under: uncultured bacterium
Lineage: Bacteria
Description: bacterial SSU rRNA
Rfam family: Bacterial small subunit ribosomal RNA
Source: RNAcentral
AACGUACGCUGGCGGCACGCCUAAUACAUGCAAGUCGAACGGGGUAGCAAUACCUAGUGGCAGACGGGUGAGUAACAUGUGGGUAUCUUCCCUUUGGUGAGGAAUAACACGAGGAAACUUGUGCUAAUACCUCAUAAGUCUUUACGGAGAAAGCUUUAUGCGCCAAUGGAUGAGCCCGCACUUGAUUAGCUAGUUGGUGAGGUAAAAGCUCACCAAGGCAACGAUCAAUAGCUGUUCUUAGAGGAAGACCAGCCACAUUGGGACUGAGACACGGCCCAAACUCCUACGGGAGGCAGCAGUAAGGAAUAUUGCACAAUGGAGGAAACUCUGAUGCAGCGAUGCCGCGUGAGUGAAGAAGGCCCUUGGGUUGUAGAACUCUUUCGUCGAGGAAGAAAAUGACUGUACUCGAAUAAGAAGGUCCGAUAACUUCGUGCCAGCAGCCGCGGUAAUACGAAGGGACCUAGCGUAGUUCGGAAUUACUGGGCUUAAAGAGCUCGUAGGUGGUUAAAAAAGUUGAUGGUGAAAUCCCAAGGCUCAACCUUGGAACUGCCAUCAAAACUUUUUAGCUGGAGUAUGAUAGAGGAAAGUGGAAUUUCUAGUGUAGAGGUGAAAUUCGUAGAUAUUAGAAAGAACAUCAAAAGCGAAGGCAACUUUCUGGAUCAUUACUGACACUGAGGAGCGAAAGCAUGGGUAGCGAAGAGGAUUAGAUACCCUCGUAGUCCAUGCCGUAAACGAUGUGUGCUAGACGUUGGAAAUUUAUUUUUCAGUGUCGCAGCGAAAGCAUUAAGCACACCGCCUGGGGAGUACGACCGCAAGGUUAAAACUCAAAUGAAUUGACGGGGACCCGCACAAGCAGUGGAGCAUGCGGUUUAAUUCGAAGAUACGCGCAGAACCUUACCAACACUUGACAUGUCUGUCGCGAGACUAAGAGAUUAGUCUCUUCAUUUAGUUGGACAGAACACAGGUGCUGCAUGGCUGUCGUCAGCUCGUGUCGUGAGAUGUUGGGUUAAGUCCCGCAACGAGCGCAACCCCUACUUUUAGUUGCCAUCAUUUAGUUGGGCACUUUAAAAGAACUGCCAGUGAUAAGCUGGAGGAAGGCGGGGAUGACGUCAAGUCCUCAUGGCCCUUACGUGUUGGGCUACACACGUGCUACAAUGGCACUUACAAUGGGAAGCAAAGAGGCAACUCCAAGCCAAUCCCAAAAAAGUGCCUCAGUUCGGAUUGUACUCUGCAACUCGAGUGCAUGAAGCUGGAAUUGCUAGUAAUCGCGGAUCAGCGCGCCGCGGUGAAUACGUUCCCGGGUCUU